CAUGCAGGCGGCUCAUUACGCAUGGCGUGAAAGCCCCCGGCUUAACCGGGGAGGGUCGUCGUGAACGGGUGAGCUUGAGGGUAUCAGGGGCUGGUGGAAUUCCCGGUGUAGUGGUGAAAUGCGUAGAGAUCGGGAGGAACACCUGUGGCGAAGGCGGCCAGCUGGGAUACACCUGACGCUGAGAUGCGAAGGCGUGGGGAGCGAACG
Molecule: ribosomal RNA, 207 nt
Filed under: uncultured bacterium
Lineage: Bacteria
Description: partial 16S ribosomal RNA
Rfam family: Bacterial small subunit ribosomal RNA
Source: RNAcentral